This is a ribosomal RNA of Synechococcus elongatus, 1489 nucleotides long. It matches the Rfam family "Bacterial small subunit ribosomal RNA". Lineage: Bacteria; Bacillati; Cyanobacteriota; Cyanophyceae; Synechococcales; Synechococcaceae. The record is from Rfam.
AAAAUGGAGAGUUUGAUCCUGGCUCAGGAUGAACGCUGGCGGCGUGCUUAACACAUGCAAGUCGAACGGGCUCUUCGGAGCUAGUGGCGGACGGGUGAGUAACGCGUGAGAAUCUGCCUACAGGACGGGGACAACAGUUGGAAACGACUGCUAAUACCCGAUGUGCCGAGAGGUGAAACAUUUAUGGCCUGUAGAUGAGCUCGCGUCUGAUUAGCUAGUUGGUGGGGUAAGGGCCUACCAAGGCGACGAUCAGUAGCUGGUCUGAGAGGAUGAUCAGCCACACUGGGACUGAGACACGGCCCAGACUCCUACGGGAGGCAGCAGUGGGGAAUUUUCCGCAAUGGGCGCAAGCCUGACGGAGCAACGCCGCGUGGGGGAGGAAGGUUUUUGGACUGUAAACCCCUUUUCUCAGGGAAGAAGAAAGUGACGGUACCUGAGGAAUAAGCCUCGGCUAAUUCCGUGCCAGCAGCCGCGGUAAUACGGGAGAGGCAAGCGUUAUCCGGAAUUAUUGGGCGUAAAGCGUCCGCAGGCGGUUAAUCAAGUCUGUUGUCAAAGCGUGGGGCUCAACCUCAUACAGGCAAUGGAAACUGAUUGACUAGAGUAUGGUAGGGGUAGCGGGAAUUCCAGGUGUAGCGGUGAAAUGCGUAGAUAUCUGGAAGAACACCAGCGGCGAAAGCGCGCUACUGGGCCAUAACUGACGCUCAUGGACGAAAGCUAGGGGAGCGAAAGGGAUUAGAUACCCCUGUAGUCCUAGCCGUAAACGAUGAACACUAGGUGUUGCGUGAAUCGACCCGCGCAGUGCCGUAGCCAACGCGUUAAGUGUUCCGCCUGGGGAGUACGCACGCAAGUGUGAAACUCAAAGGAAUUGACGGGGGCCCGCACAAGCGGUGGAGUAUGUGGUUUAAUUCGAUGCAACGCGAAGAACCUUACCAGGGUUUGACAUCCCCCGAAUCUCUUGGAAACGAGAGAGUGCCUUCGGGAGCGGGGAGACAGGUGGUGCAUGGCUGUCGUCAGCUCGUGUCGUGAGAUGUUGGGUUAAGUCCCGCAACGAGCGCAACCCACGUUUUUAGUUGCCAUCAUUCAGUUGGGCACUCUAGAGAAACUGCCGGUGACAAACCGGAGGAAGGUGUGGACGACGUCAAGUCAUCAUGCCCCUUACAUCCUGGGCUACACACGUACUACAAUGCUCCGGACAGCGAGACGCGAAGCCGCGAGGUGAAGCAAAUCUCCCAAACCGGGGCUCAGUUCAGAUUGCAGGCUGCAACUCGCCUGCAUGAAGGCGGAAUCGCUAGUAAUCGCAGGUCAGCAUACUGCGGUGAAUACGUUCCCGGGCCUUGUACACACCGCCCGUCACACCAUGGAAGUUGGCCAUGCCCGAAGUCGUUACCCUAACCGUUCGCGGAGGGGGGCGCCGAAGGUAGGGCUGAUGACUGGGGUGAAGUCGUAACAAGGUAGCCGUACCGGAAGGUGUGGCUGGAUCACCUCCUUU